RNAcentral lists this ribosomal RNA (497 nucleotides) under uncultured bacterium. RNAcentral describes it as "partial 16S ribosomal RNA". It matches the Rfam family "Bacterial small subunit ribosomal RNA", at positions 28 to 507 of the family's 1533-position model. The record is from RNAcentral.
GAUGAACGCUGGCGGCGUGCCUAAUACAUGCAAGUCGAGCGAACAGAUAAGGAGCUUGCUCCUUUGACGUUAGCGGCGGACGGGUGAGUAACACGUGGGUAACCUACCUAUAAGACUGGAAUAACUCCGGGAAACCGGGGCUAAUGCCGGAUAACAUUUAGAACCGCAUGGUUCUAAAGUGAAAGAUGGUUUUGCUAUCACUUAUAGAUGGACCCGCGCCGUAUUAGCUAGUUGGUAAGGUAACGGCUUACCAAGGCAACGAUACGUAGCCGACCUGAGAGGGUGAUCGGCCACACUGGAACUGAGACACGGUCCAGACUCCUACGGGAGGCAGCAGUAGGGAAUCUUCCGCAAUGGGCGAAAGCCUAACGGAGCAACGCCGCGUGAGUGAUGAAGGUCUUCGGAUCGUAAAACUCUGUUAUUAGGGAAGAACAAAUGUGUAAGUAACUGUGCACGUCUUGACGGUACCUAAUCAGAAAGCCACGGCUAACUACGUG